CCUACGGUGCGCAGCAGUGAGGAAUAUUGGUCAAUGGACGAGAGUCUGAACCAGCCAAGUAGCGUGAAGGAUGACUGCCCUCUGGUUUGUAAACUUCUUUUAUAAAGGAAUAAAACGACGCACGUGUGCCUUUUUGCAUGUACUUUAUGACUAAGGAUCGGCUAACUCCGUGCCAGCAGCCGCGGUAAUACGGAGGAUCCGAGCGUUAUCCGGAUUUAUUGGGUUUAAAGGGAGCGUAUAUGGGUUGUUAAGUCAGUUGUGAAAGUUUGAGGCUCAACCGUAAAAUUGCAAUUGAGACUGGCAGUCUUGAGUAUAGUUGAGGUAGGCGGAAUUCGUGGUGUAGCGGUGAAAUGCUUAGAUAUCACGAAGAACCCCGAUUGCGAAGGCAGCUUACUAAACUGUGACUGACAUUGAUGCUCGAAAGUGUGGGUAUCAAACAGGAUUAGAUACCCCAGUAGUC
Molecule: ribosomal RNA, 460 nt
Filed under: uncultured bacterium
Lineage: Bacteria
Description: partial 16S ribosomal RNA
Rfam family: Bacterial small subunit ribosomal RNA
Source: RNAcentral